Molecule: ribosomal RNA, 492 nt
Filed under: uncultured bacterium
Lineage: Bacteria
Description: partial 16S ribosomal RNA
Rfam family: Bacterial small subunit ribosomal RNA
Source: RNAcentral
AGUGAACGCUGGCGGUAGGCCUAACACAUGCAAGUCGAACGGCAGCACAGUAAGAGCUUGCUCUUACGGGUGGCGAGUGGCGGACGGGUGAGGAAUACAUCGGAAUCUACUUUUUCGUGGGGGAUAACGUAGGGAAACUUACGCUAAUACCGCAUACGACCUACGGGUGAAAGCAGGGGAUCUUCGGACCUUGCGCGAUUGAAUGAGCCGCUGUCGGAUUAGCUAGUUGGCGGGGUAAAGGCCCACCAAGGCGACGAUCCGUAGCUGGUCUGAGAGGAUGAUCAGCCACACUGGAACUGAGACACGGUCCAGACUCCUACGGGAGGCAGCAGUGGGGAAUAGUGGACAAUGGGCGCAAGCCUGAUCCAGCCAUACCGCGUGGGUGAAGAAGGCCUUCGGGUUGUAAAGCCCUUUUGUUGGGAAAGAAAAGCAGCAGGUUAAUACCCCGCUGUUCUGACGGUACCCAAAGAAUAAGCACCGGCUAACUUCGUG